RNAcentral lists this ribosomal RNA (253 nucleotides) under uncultured bacterium. Its description in RNAcentral is "partial 16S ribosomal RNA". It matches the Rfam family "Bacterial small subunit ribosomal RNA", at positions 524 to 776 of the family's 1533-position model. The record is from RNAcentral.
UACAGAGGGUGCAAGCGUUGCUCGGAAUUAUUGGGCGUAAAGGGUAGGUAGGUGGUCUUAUUUGUCUGGGGUGAAAGCCUUGAGCUUAACUCAAGAAGUGCCCCAGAAACGGUAAGACUAGAGUCUUGGAGAGGGUUGCGGAAUUCCCGGUGUAGCGGUGAAAUGCGUAGAGAUCGGGAGGAACACCGGUGGCGAAGGCGGGUCUCUGGGCCGAUACUGACGCUGAGGAGCGAAAGCGUGGGGAGCAAACAGG